This 482-nucleotide ribosomal RNA is filed under the name uncultured bacterium. Its description in RNAcentral is "partial 16S ribosomal RNA". It matches the Rfam family "Bacterial small subunit ribosomal RNA", at positions 28 to 507 of the family's 1533-position model. The record is from RNAcentral.
GAUGAACGCUAGCGGCAGGCCUAAUACAUGCAAGUCGAACGAGAUUAAGAGGCUUGCUUCUUAUGAAAGUGGCGCACGGGUGCGUAACGCGUAUGCAACCUACCUUAAUCAGGGGGAUAGCCCGAAGAAAUUCGGAUUAAGACCGCAUAAAAACACAGGAUAGCAUUAUCCAAUGUUCAAAUAUUUAUAGGAUUAAGAUGGGCAUGCGUGUCAUUAGCUAGUUGGCGGGGUAACGGCCCACCAAGGCGACGAUGACUAGGGGAUCUGAGAGGAUGACCCCCCACAAUGGAACUGAGGCACGGACAAGACUCCUACGGGAGGCAGCAGUAAGGAACAUUGGUCAAUGGAGGGAAACCUGACCCAGCCAGGCCGCGUGCAGGAAGCCAGCCCUCGGGGUCGUAAGCUGCUUUUAGUCGGGAAUAAACCUUUAUACGUGUAGGAAGCUGAAUGUACCGAAGGAAUAAGGAUCGGCUAACUCCGUG